AUACGUAGGGGGCGAGCGUUGUCCGGAAUGAUUGGGCGUAAAGGGCGCGUAGGCGGCCUGUUAAGUCUGGAGUGAAAGUCCUGUUUUCAAGAUGGGAAUUGCUUUGGAUACUGAUGGGCUUGAGUGCAGGAGAGGUUAUCGGAAUUCCCGGUGUAGCGGUGAAAUGCGUAGAGAUCAGGAGGAACACCAGUGGCGAAGGCGGGUAACUGGACUGCAACUGACGCUGAGGCGCGAAAGUGUGGGGAGCAAACAGGAUUAGAUACCCUGGUAGUCCACACUGUAAACGAUGAAUGCUAGGUGUAAGAGGUAUCGACCCCUUUUGUGCCGGAGUUAACACAAUAAGCAUUCCGCCUGGGGAGUACGGCCGCAAGGUUGAAACUCAAAGGAAUUGACGGGG
This 397-nucleotide ribosomal RNA is filed under the name uncultured bacterium. Its description in RNAcentral is "partial 16S ribosomal RNA". It matches the Rfam family "Bacterial small subunit ribosomal RNA", at positions 523 to 918 of the family's 1533-position model. The record is from RNAcentral.